RNAcentral lists this long non-coding RNA (1119 nucleotides) under Salmo trutta (river trout). RNAcentral describes it as "lncRNA (ENSSTUG00000016482.1)". The record is from RNAcentral. Lineage: Eukaryota; Metazoa; Chordata; Actinopteri; Salmoniformes; Salmonidae.
UAAGUACUAUAGUUGAUUAGUUAAUAGAACAGCAAGUCUAACUGAGUUCCUUCAUUGAUAUUGACUCAAGCCACAACUAAUAGCCUACGUCACUUGUAAUGAAUGUAACCUGUAAACGCACCAAAACAAUAUGCCGAGGGUUUGGCACGCCUUGGUAAAUGUAUCAUCUUAAGGAGCUUUGAGGAACACCUACACACACACACACACACACACACACACACACGCACACGCACACGCACACGCACACGGACAAACCCGCUCACUUCAAACAGAUUCGAAUAUUGAUUUAGAUUUGUAAACAGAGACAGAACCUGGGUUUAAUAAAUCGUCAGUUGCCUCUCUAGCAGUCUUAAGAGUUGCCUAGGCUAAGUCAAAAGUGCAGUAUUGAAUCGUUAGACCUGUGUUUUUACGCAAUCAAAAACAUUGACUAAUGUAAAACUCUAUAUUAUUUAUUUUGACAGACUUUGAUGAAUGGAAAUCGUCGGGGAUGACGCCUUCUAGACUUUUUUUUUCUCUAUCAAUCUUCUGUUCCGGACUCGUCAUGUUUGCAUUUCGACUGGAGUAAAGUUUUCCAACAUGUGAUCUAGUUUAUGACCGGGGUUUCUUCAGCCUACAGCCGUUCUCUGUCUGAAGGAUGGGAUAGGGACAUGGCAAGUUGUCAGGGCCUCUGCAACAAACACAUGGAUUCCAUUAAAUACACUCUCCUUCAGACCAUCAACAUGACGGAGCAAAGUCCAGAUCCACGGAGAUCCAACAAGGACAAAUGAUACAAGGAGAAAGAUGCCUCUCAGCAGACACACUGACUUGAUGUUCAUUAGCUUACUGUAUGAGCAAGUUUUGCUUUCCAAUAUAACUUAUGAUUGCUAUGAUUUUUUAAAUUAAAAUGCACUUUAUGUAAAAUGUAUUGUUGAUAUAUGUUGCUACCAUUAUUAAUGAUAUUCAAUAUAUUUUAAAUCAUGUCCCUUGCAUUCAAACUAAGUGUUUGUGGUUUUCACCAACCCAGGAGACUGUAACAUUAUGGCUGACUUAUCCUCCAACCCCAGCGGUGUGUAAAUAAAGAUAUCUAUGUUGAUGUAACUGUCAAGCAGUCUCUUCCUCCACUCCUAGACAUCCUGUGGA